This 305-nucleotide ribosomal RNA is filed under the name uncultured bacterium. RNAcentral's name for it is "bacterial SSU rRNA". It matches the Rfam family "Bacterial small subunit ribosomal RNA", at positions 335 to 658 of the family's 1533-position model. The record is from RNAcentral.
UGCCUACGGGAGGCAGCAGUGGGGGAUAUUGCACAAUGGGGGAAACCCUGAUGCAGCGACGCCGCGUGAGUGAAGAAGUAUUUGGGUAUGUAAAGCUCUAUCAGCAGGGAAGAAAAUGACAGUACCUGACCAAGAAGCCCCGGCUAACUACGUGCCAGCAGCCGCGGUAAUACGUAGGGGGCAAGCGUUAUCCGGAAUUACUGGGUGUAAAGGGAGCGUAGACGGUGAUGCAAGUCUGGAGUGAAAGGCGGGGGCCCAACCCCCGGACUGCUCUGGAAACUGUGUAACUUGAGUGCAGGAGAGGG